RNAcentral lists this ribosomal RNA (253 nucleotides) under uncultured bacterium. RNAcentral's name for it is "partial 16S ribosomal RNA". It matches the Rfam family "Bacterial small subunit ribosomal RNA", at positions 524 to 776 of the family's 1533-position model. The record is from RNAcentral.
UACGUAGGGCGCAAGCGUUGUCCGGAAUUAUUGGGCGUAAAGAGCUCGUAGGCGGCCUGUUGCGUCCGCUGUGAAAUCCCGGGGCUCAACCCCGGGCCUGCAGUGGAUACGGGCUGGCUAGAGGCAGGCAGGGGAGAACGGAAUUCCUGGUGUAGCGGUGAAAUGCGUAGAUAUCAGGAGGAACACCUGUGGUGUAGACAGCUUACUGGACCAUUUCUGACGCUGAGACACGAAAGCGUGGGUAGCAAAUAGG